GUCGCGAAGCGGAUGAGGAGAGCUUGCUCUCCGAUUCACCGGCGGACGGGUGAGUAAUGCCUAGGAAUCUGCCUGGUAGUGGGCGGACAACGUUUCGAAAGGAACGCUAAUACCGCAUACGUCCUACGGGAGAAAGUGGGUGGAUCUUCGGACCUCACGCUAUCAGAUGAGCCUAGGUCGGAUUAGCUAGUUGGUGGGGUAAUGGCCUACCAAGGCGACGAUCCGUAACUGGUCUGAGAGGAUGAUCAGUCACACUGGAACUGAGACACGGUCCAGACUCCUACGGGAGGCAGCAGUGGGGAAUAUUGGACAAUGGGCGAAAGCCUGAUCCAGCCAUGCCGCGUGUGUGAAGAAGGUCUUCGGAUUGUAAAGCACUUUAAGUUGGGAGGAAGGGCUGCUGGUUAAUACCCUGCAGUUUUGACGUUACCAACAGAAUAAGCACCGGCUAACUUCGUGCCAGCAGCCGGCGGUAAUUACGAAGGGGUGCAAGCGUUAAUCGGAAUUACUGGGCGUAAAGCGCGCGUAGGUGGUUCGUUAAGUUGGAUGUGAAAGC
RNAcentral lists this ribosomal RNA (553 nucleotides) under uncultured Pseudomonas sp. RNAcentral describes it as "bacterial SSU rRNA". It matches the Rfam family "Bacterial small subunit ribosomal RNA", at positions 61 to 601 of the family's 1533-position model. The record is from RNAcentral. Lineage: Bacteria; Pseudomonadati; Pseudomonadota; Gammaproteobacteria; Pseudomonadales; Pseudomonadaceae.